AGUAGUCUGUAACUGAUUUUAUACCAAAAUACGAAUGUUUUAAACUGUGUCAUUAACCACCAACUUCAUUGGACUGAAUGAAAACAGAACAAAUAACAAUAAAAUUAUUGGAAUAGAACUUAAUUUAUAUAAACUUAAAACUACUUACCUAAAAGUAAUAUACAGAUACUACAGAAAAAAAAGAAAAACAAAAAAAAAAGAUGAAAUAAAUGACAUAAUAAAAAUACACACACACUUUUACUACAUCGAUUUCCUGCCUCAUCACUCUUUCCACUCACAUGAGAUGCCACUGAAGCUUUUGGAAACUUCAACAGCAAAGGGCUCAGCUCUUCCAUAGCUGUUACCUUAUGACGUGUUCCAUUAGUUGUCUUGAUAACUAUGAUUCCAUCCUGGGUCCAGCAGGAUCGCAUUCCGAAGUGAGCUCUUGCCUUGAUAAAUAUGGACUGCCUGGGCUUUGUCAAAAA
This is a long non-coding RNA of Bombyx mori (domestic silkworm), 464 nucleotides long. RefSeq lists it as uncharacterized. The transcript has 2 exons. Lineage: Eukaryota; Metazoa; Arthropoda; Insecta; Lepidoptera; Bombycidae. The record is from RefSeq and is a predicted model, not a curated record.